RNAcentral lists this long non-coding RNA (29063 nucleotides) under Populus trichocarpa (black cottonwood). Its description in RNAcentral is "long non-coding RNA (PTRI_LNC002304)". Lineage: Eukaryota; Viridiplantae; Streptophyta; Magnoliopsida; Malpighiales; Salicaceae. The record is from RNAcentral.
UUACAUUACAAAAAGGUCUAUGAAAUUCUGAGUAAGGCAUAAUCAUUGGGGUUGGUAGGCAGGCUAGCUAGCUAUUUGUUCGUAGAACCAUUAUGUCGUUUUGCUUAGGAAAAUGACAGUACCUUAACAAGUGGGAAUUAUAGUUUUGCUAGAAUUUCUCAGUUGCAAAUGUAUUAACUUCUGACAAAAAUUGGUUACAAUUACAUACACUUUUGUCCAUUGCUCUCCUUUUCUCUGUUCCAUGUCCGCUUGUAUGUUUUCUUGAUAUCUAUAGGAUUAUUGUUAAAAAAAAACUAGUAGGUAAAUUUCAUAGCCUAUGAUUUGCUUAAUUCUGUGAUAGUAACCGGUGAAAUUAUAGUUUUCGGGUUUGGAGUCGGGUUAUGGUUACCUGUAACCUGGUCAGGUUUCAGGUGUCCAAAAUCCAUGCCCGUCACAUUUAUGGUUGGGUAUGGAUAAUAAUUUUAGGUUCGGGUUUAGGCAUGGAUAGCACCAAACCUGACUUCUAUAUACUCAUUGUCAUCCCUAAUUUUGAGUUUAUAUCACAUGGUUUAGCCACCCUUAACCGCUGGUCGAGUUUCGCUGCUAUUUGUUUGUAUGCACAGAAUUUUCCUUCUACUAUUAUAUUAUAUUUAUUGUUGAAUAAUUAUGUCAUAAUAUGGUAUUAUGUGAUUUUGUACAUCCAAUUAACGUCAUUGGUAUGGUAUUGAUUAAAAUGCGUGGUUAAUGAUUUUGUACUUCCAACAUUUAAUGUUGAUGGUGUGAUGGAUUAUAGUUCCUUUGCAUUUAAUUUUUCCAGCUUGCUGUGAAGAGAGAGUAAGAUGGGGAGGAGGAUAUUGAACGAUGCCUUGAGGGCAAUAGUGAAUGCAGAGAGGAGAAGUAAAUCUACUGUGGAGUUACAGCCCAUUUCUACUGUCACGUCUUCUUUUCUUAAGAUCAUGAAAGACAGGGGAUAUAUAAAAAACUUUCAUGUUUAUGAUCCACACAGAGUGGGAAGGAUAACUGUUGAAUUACAAGGCAGGGUUACUGAUUGUCGAGCUCUCACUUACAGGCAAGACAUUAAGGCAAAGGAUAUAGAAGCUUACAGAUUGCGGAACCUUCCUACACGGCAGUGGGGUUAUGUUGUGGUCACAACUCCGGAUGGUAUAUUGGAUCAUGAAGAGGCUAUCAGUCGGAAUGUGGGAGGUCAGGUUCUUGGUUAUUUUCAUUAGAUGUGUCAUCUUUUCAGAUUGUGAGAACUUGGAAUCUCAAAAGGACCAUGAUGGUUCUUGUUUUCUUUUCUUUUUUUGAAGGGUAAAUUAACUUUCAAUUGAAGCCCGCAUCUCCUCUCUCUUUUAAGUGAAAUGAGUUUACUUUAGCUGUAUCAAAAGUAACAAUCAAUGGCUCCUUUAUCAUGUAGUCAAGUUCAGACUUUGCGACGCCUAGAUGAUAUCAUGGAUGUGGCAAAACAUGUUGCUUGAGAGGUUCAGUAAGAUCGAUCCAUGAAACACGAAGGAAAUUAGCUUACCAUGUGUACCUGUUGCAUACUUGAAGCAUUUUGAUUUUGAUUGCCAUUGGGAGCUCUUCAGGCUGAUUGUGCAAAGUAUGGGUAGUUUUCUCGUUUCUUAAAUUCCUCCUGUUUCAGGUCUCAGGUAAAAUCCUAUUUGUUGUGGCUUGGGAGUUGGGACCAUGGGAAUUAGCACUCUCAUAACUAAUGCGUUUUGCAGCAAGUCAAUUAAUUUUUGGUAGAAUAUCAAUAUUUUCUUGUGCAAACGACGUCAUUGAAGGAAAAAAGGCCCUUUGCUUUAUUUUAUUUUCUUUUUGAAUAAAUGAAAUGUUUUGAUUUUUUUUUCUUUUAAGAGCAUUAACAUCAUCUGAUGUUUUUUUUUCUUUUUUUUGAAGAAAGAAAUAUGUCAUUUACCUGUGUGAAUACUGAAAAGCAAUUAUUCCAGCACUUGAAAGCAUGGUUAUUAAAUCUGGUGACUCGGAUUAAUUUGAAAAGAUUUAAAAAUAUAUUUAAGAUUUUAAUAUUUUAUAUGAAAAAAUUAAAGAUAUUUUGCAUAGAUGUAAGUUAUAAAUAUAGUUCUUCAAUAAAAAAAAUAAGAAAUAAUAUGUAAAUAAAGGAUAUAUAUAUAUAUAAAAAAUAUUAUUCUACCUCGCUAGCAGAUAAAAAUUUUGUGCAGAGAAAAGUAAAAUAGUAAUUACACCAUGCAAGUUCACAAUAUAUAGUGAAACAAUGAUCUCUUCCGGAGUUUUUCAUUAUACUCAAAUUCAUUUUAACUCAUUUUUCGUGUUUUAUUUUUAAUCAAUCGGAAAUUACCCAACUGGCUCUUUUUUGUCUAAUUUUAAAAAUAAAAAUGCUAGUUUCUCUUAAAAAAGGUGUGUUUUUGUGCAUAAAAUAAAGGAAUUGGAAAUGGAUGAAGGGACUCGAUUAAAAAAAGUACGGUACCUGUGGACCUAACUUGGAAAUAUUUCUGUGCUGGUAAAUGAGAAUUGGUGGAUGGCUCGCUGCUGAGAUAACGUGGAAAAUGUUGUUUGGUUUGGCAAUUUCACUUGCGCCGGAUGGAUGCCGACCCCGCUUGAAUGGACAGUAAAGUUUAUGGAUAUUUCGUGCUUGGUUCAGUUAACUGUGUGGUUGGUAUUUAGUAUUUUUUUAUAUGAUUAUAGUUUAAAAAUUAAACAUAUAUUUGAGAUUCCAAUAAAUAUUAUGUUUUAAAGUAUUUUUUAUUUAAAAAUAAUAUUUUUUUUAUUUUUUUACCAGCAUAUCAAAAUAAUAAAAAAACUAAAAAAUUUAAUUUUAAACAAAAAAAUUUAAAUUUUUAGCGAAUAAUGUUUUUACCAUAAUACCAAACAUGCAAAAUCUUUUUAAAAAUUAUAAGUUAUAGUUUUUUUCUUAAAUAAAAUUCUAAUAAAGAGUUUCUAGCAUAAUCAUAUAAAAUCAUAAUAUAUAUUAAUUAAUUAAAUAUUUUUAAAUAUGUCACAGGGUAAAAUGCACGCAGCACAUAAACAAAUUUAGCCUAAAAUUUGAAGGUAAGAAGGUGGGUAUGGAUACUACAUUAUCUUUACCAAAACAUUACUCAAAAGUCAAUAAUGACCUUAAAGUUUAACAAAAUCACAUUUAUACCAACCUUAUAUAUUUUUAAAAAAUAAAUAACGACCCCAGGGUUUCUCCUCUUUCAACCGCCGAACACUUUCCAGCAGACAACACACGAAAAAAGAAGGGUUUUAGUCCAAUCCCCAUUGUCUUCUUUAUCUCCGGAUUUUCUCUCAAAAGAAGUCAGUUUCUCUUCUUAUCUCAAUAAUCACUCAUCCUGCAAAUAUUUAGUAAAUUUAUCUCAAUAAACAUUUAUCUCAUUUUUAUCUCUCUACGCCCCUCCGAUCUGUAUCUCCAAUAACUGUUAGAGAGAGAGCCUCUUCAGGUACAUCUCUUUCUGUCAAACUUUACGUAUUUUUGUCAUUAAGUUUAGGCUUAUGCUUAUUGAUUCCUUUUUUAUUGCUGAGAAAACUGAGAAACAGAAAGAAAGUUUUGAUUUUUUUACGGUGAAAAUGAAAUUGAAGCUAUCAAUCUUGCGACUUACAUCAGUUAUUAUUUUUGUUACUUCUCGUGACAGUUUAGAAUGGCUGUUGAAUCGGGAUCGGUAUAGCAUUUUCUAUCUUUAUCUGUAAAUUUAGUAACUGAAAUAGACUGUAAUUGUUGAUCCCAGUUUGCAAAAAAAAAGGUCUCUCUGUCGAUUUUUAUGUAAAUUUUAUCAGCCUGUUAAAUGAUUAUUUUCUGAUUUUAUUUCUGGGAGGCCAAGGAUAUGGCAGUGUUGGGAUUCCCUGGUUAAGAAUGGCUUCCUAUUGAUUUUUGGAGUACGCAUUUUAGAAACCAGAAGCUUUGCUUUCGACAGUCUUAGGUUUAUGAAUACUGUGAAAUGUGGAUAACUUUUUGAUGCUUUGUUAAAUUGUAGAUUUCUUUAUCAUAGGGAAAUAAGGAAUGAUUGAUAACUUUUAUAUUCCAGAAUUGAGCAAUACAUGUGUGAAAUCCCGGUACAUUAUAAAUACGAUGACCGAUGACCGUGGAACAUGAUUGUAAAGUCCCGAUAAAUCAAAUAAGAUGACUGGAAACAUGGUGAAAAAUUGAUAAGAAAGAUUUAAUAAAGAGGUAUUAAAUAAAAUAUUAGGAUACAUUGAAUGAAUAAUUAUGGAUGAUAAAAAUGAUUCCGGAAGUUAGCCUGAAGAUGUUGGAAAGGCCUAGGGUAAUUAAAUACAAUAAGACAAAAAUCAACUCAUUUAUUCUCUAAGAGGUGCCGGCCAGAACAGCCCAAAACAGCCCGCUCCCUUUGUUCUUCUUCACCAAAUCCGUUGCAUGUCCUUGCAAAACAAAAUGGUUGUGAGAUUGUAAAUUUGUGAGGAAGGAAGCUACACUAGAAAACAUUGAGAAAGAGAGAGAGGGACGGAUAGAGAAGAGUAAGGAAGAAAAAAAAAAUCAAAUGAGCUUGAAGAAGAAGGAGAAGAGGAAGAAGUUGUCUAGGAAGCCACAACUUAGGCUCAAAUUCGUUUGGUAAGAUGAUUUUCAUUGUUUAAAUUGUGUUCUUGGUAACAUUUGAUGGAGAUGAUGAAAAACCCCAAAUGUUAUAACCUUAGGGUUUGUAUGCAUGUUGAAAAUAGAGGUGUAAUGAAACAAACAUGUUAAAUGAACAUUGGAAGGACACAAAACUAAAGAAACUAAAGAAGAAAAUUGAAAGAAAUCAAGUGGAAAUUCCUAACCUAAGAACCGACCAGCCUUGAACAAAAAAGGGAGUGAGAGAUAUGAUUUGAAAGGGGAAAUGCUAAAUGUUUAACAAGCCUUGUGUAGGGUAAGUUGUGAUUAAAAAUGGAACUUUGGAUAAAUGGAAGGAUUGUGUGUUCUUGUAUACAUGAAAGGGUGUUCAUGGCAGGAAGGAACUUGUUGUAAACACAUCUUUAAAGCAUAGAACUAAUAUUUAGAAUGAAAAUAUGGGAAUGAUGUAAAAAGAUGAAGUAAUUGGAAUAAAAGAACUUGGAUGAAUGGGCAUAUUGGUGUUGGCCAGAUUUGGGAACAAAAAGGAGGGAUGGAAAUUUAGUUUAAAAUUAUAAUGCGAAGUGUUAACAAGUGGGUGAAUGGUGGUAAUGGUAUAGUGAUGUAAGUACAAUUAUUGCCAUUUAUCCUUAAUUAGAAGCAUCAAUGCAUUGCUAAAAUGGAUGGUAGAAUGGAGAGUAAGUGUAUGGACAAGUGUUAAUGAAUUAGAGGAAUUAGUGUGAAAUUUGUACAUGUACAUGUGAAAUUGAGGACAUCCAAAGAAAAACAAAUGGGGCCAUUCGACCAAGUUCAUAAGAUUAGGGGGGGGGAGAAGAAUAUAAAAAUGUUGUAAUGGAAUUAACAAGGAUGAAAAGAUAAGUUUUGGAAAAUAAGGAUUUUGAAGUAAAUGGGUUAAGUUAGCAUAAGAAGGGGAUAAACUAGAAGAAAUUAUGUUAAACAUUGAAAAAAACCAAGAGAAAACUCCUAACAUUAGGGAUGGACAGAUUUGGUUAAUAGGAGGAUUGUGCUUAAAGGUGCUAUAGGGAAUAUGGAAUGAAAAUACUUGGUUGAUUGUCAAAUCCAUAGAUUGAGAAGCUGGACAGUUUUGUCACCUGACUUCGAAAUGAGAUUAGAACUUGAAAAUGAUAGAAUCAGAAAUAAGUUUCUCGGAAGUUGUAGUUAGGGAUGUUAGUUUUCAAACGAAUCUGACCUUACUUAAUUUGGAGUUAUAAAACUCUAGAUAUGGAUUAAAAACUAAAGAAAAGUCAAACUGAAUCUUGCUGGACAGAUUUGUAUAAAGUGCGACAAUGGGUAAUUUUGAUUAUGUUAAUGGCGGAACUGGGUUUUUGUCCCUUCAGUAAAGUUGUAGUUUCAUAUCUUAGCUUUCAAAAAAGUCAAGCCACACCCAAACCCGAGGUCUAUAAUGUUAGUUAUGAAUAAAAUAUUGAACAUUGAUUAUGAGUGAUAACUGGUGUAGAACCUGUAAUGAGGAAAUUAGAUGAAGGAAACUAAACGGAAUCCUCAAUUAAUUCAUGGAAAUAAACUUAUGUGAAUGGAAUUCGCAAUGAUACGAGAGCUCACAUUAUAGUGAAGCUAUGAAAUGAUACUAAUAAUACCUCUUGAUUCAAAGCAUGAGAGGUGCCUGGAGCAGGAUCAUCUGUGAUAGGAGGAAACCAGUCAAUCAGAGAAGGAGGCAGGUGCAUUGCACCUCUGUCAAUUAAUUUUACCUAAAUCCUUGAUACUGAUUAUCGUUGCUUCAAUUACAGUAGGUGUCCAUAAUAAUAAGAAUAUGGGUACUGAAUAAUAUUUCAUUGACUAGUUUCCUGGUUUGGAAAUUAGUGGUGUUAGUGUGACUGGCGACCAGGAAUAAAAUUAUUGAAAUGAAAUUUAAUUUGACUAGUUUCCUGGUUUGGAAACUAGUGGCAUCAGUGUGGCUAAUGACCUGGAAUAAAUUUAUUGAAAUGAAAUUUAAUCUGACUCGUUUCCUUGUUUGGGAACUAGUGGUGUCAAUAUAUCCUCUUUGAAUGGAUGGCAGGAGAAAUAGAAAAGAAAGACAAUGGUCCAGUCAAAGAUUACUGGUUUUAUUUAAUCUCACCUUAAUUUAUCCAAAAAAAAAAAAGUUGCACGAAGGUUCUGGUUUUGUAAGAGUUUCUCGGUUGCAAAUGUAUUAGCUUUUGUCCACUGUUCUCCUUUUCUCUGCACUAUGUCCACUUGUAUGCUUUCUUGAUAUGUAUUGGAUUAUUGUUAAAAACAAACUAGUAGGUAAAUUUCAUAGCCUAUGAUUUGCUUAAUUCUGUGAUAGUAAGUGGUGAAAUUAUAGUUUUCGGGUUUAGAUUUGGGUCAGGUUGGAGUCGGGUUGAAUGAUUUUGUACAUCCAAUUAACAUCAUUAGUGUGGAAUUGAUUGAAAUGCGUCUUCAACAUUUGAUGUUGAUGGUGUGAUGGAUUACAGUUCCUUUGCAUUUGGUUUUCCAGCUUGCUGUGAAGAGAGAGAAAGAUGGGGAGGAGGAUAUUGAACGAUGCCUUGAGGGCAAUAGUGAACGCAGAGAGGAGAAGUAAAUCUACUGUGGAGUUACAGCCCAUUUCUACUGUCACGUCUUCUUUUCUUAAGAUCAUGAAAGACAGGGGAUAUAUAAAAAACUUUCAUGUUUAUGAUCCACACAGAGUGGGAAGGAUAACUGUUGAAUUACAAGGCAGGGUUACUGAUUGUCGAGCUCUCACUUACAGGCAAGACAUUAAGGCAAAGGAUAUAGAAGCUUACAGAUUGCGGAACCUUCCUACACGGCAGUGGGGUUAUGUUGUGGUCACAACUCCGGAUGGUAUAUUGGAUCAUGAAGAGGCUAUCAGUCGGAAUGUGGGAGGUCAGGUUCUUGGUUAUUUUCAUUAGAUGUGUCUUCUGUGUCAUCUUUUCAGAUUGUGAGAACUUGGAAGCUCAAAAGGACCAUGAUGGUUCUUGUUUUCUUUUCCUUUUUUGAAGGGUAAAUUAACUUUCAAUUGAAGCCCGCAUCUCCUCUCUCUUUUAAGUGAAAUGAGUUUACUUUAGCUGUAUCAAAAGUAACAGUCAAUGGCUCCUUUAUCAUAUAGUCAAAUUCAGACUUUGCGAAGCGUUGAUGAUAUCAUGGAUGUGGCAAAACAUGUUGCUUGAGAGGUUCAGUCAAGUAAAUUCCUCCUGUUUCAGGUCUCAGGUAAAAUCCUAUUUGUUGUGGCUUUGGACCAUGGGAAUUAGCACUCUCAUAACUGAUGCGUUUUGCAGCAAGUCAAUUAAAUUUCGGUAAAACAUCAAUAUUUUCUUGUGCAAACGACGUCAUUGAAGGGAAAAAAAAAAAGCCCUUUGCUUUUUUUUCUCUUCUUUUUGAAUAAAUGAAAUGUUGUUUUGAUUUUUUUUCUCUUAGGAGCAUAAACAUCAUCUUAUGUUUUUUUCUUUUUUAAAAAGAAAGAAAUAUAUCAUUUACCUAUGUCAAUACUGAAAAGCGAAUUAUACCAGUCCAAGUGUUCUACGCUGUGGGUCUGAUUUCAAAGAACUAAUCUUGUAAAAUAUUGCGCACAUAACGUGUUGCAUCGUCUCAUUUCAACAAAAGAUAAGAUUAGUUUGGAUUAUAUUAUUGUCCUUCACGAUGCUAUUGUUCUAAGAAAGAAUUUUUAAAAUAUAAAAGAACAUCCAAGUGUGUUUAUUUAUUUGUUGUUAGAAAUAUUUUUUAAAUUGUGUGGGGGUUAAUUUCCUUGUGACCGGGCAGCUUGUUGAGUUUAAAGACAAAUCACGACAAAUCGAAUAACAGAAAAAAAAUAAAAUAUAAUUUGACUAAAAUAAUUUAAAAUAAUAUUUUUAAAAAAUAUAUAAUUUUAAUAUAUGUCUAAAAAUAUAUAAUUUUAAAACGGAAACACCCGUUAAUACUAUAUAUCUCAAAACAAGAAUGAAAGCAAGACAAUUAUUUCUUGUUGCUGACAUGGGAAAAUGUUAUUGGAUAACAAACUUCACCAUACGUGGCCCUCUAAAGGAAAUACGUAAACAACUUCAUGACUGGUGGCGUUGCUUUUUUUAUUUCUGAAGUACCAAAUUAAUUACUUCGAGCGUAUCCAUAAGGGCCCGUCACUUAUUACAUCACAACAAUCAAAUAAUAACAAGCCACGUAUUCACAAAGUAUUCCCUUCCACAUAAACGCCUAAUUUCAUUGUCUGCCAAUAAAAGUUUACGUGGCAGGCAUGUAGGAUGAUUGAUGGCAGUGAUUUUACCAAGCAUUUUUUACCCGUCUCUCGUUUGACUCCACAUUGACCUGCCUCUUUUGGUAAAACCCUAUCUCUCUCUCUAUUUCUUUCUGCAAAUAUUAAAAAAAUCUCAUUUUCAUCUCUCCCCCUCUCUAUGCCCCCCCGAUCUGUAUCUCUAGUAACCGUUAGAGAGAGAGCCUCUUCAGGUGCAUCUCUUUCUGUCAAACUAUACGUGUUUUUGUCUUUAAAUUUGGGCUUAUGAUUAUUGAUUCCUUUUCGGUUGCUGAGAAAAUCGAGGAACAGAAAGAAAGUUUUGAUUUUUUACGGAGAAAAUGGAAUUGAAGCUAUAAAUCUUGGGAUUUACCCCAGUUAUUCUUUUUCUGCUUAUCGUGAUAGUUUAACAUGACAUUUGAACCGGGAUCAGUAUAGCAUUUUCUAUCUUUAUCUGUGAAUUUAGUAACUGAAAUAGAGUAUAAUUGUUGAUCCCAAUUUGAAAAAAAUAGGUCUCUCUGUCGACUUUUAUUUAAAUUUUAUCAGCCUAUUAAAUGGUUGUUUUCUGAUUUUUAUUUUUCUUGACUUAAAUUGCAGGGUUUUUUUUAUGGUAAAGAGGCAAUAGGUUCUCAAUUGAUCGUUGAAGUGUAGUAGAUUAGCUUAAUAAUCUUUCUCCAAAGUGCUUGGUUAGAAUACGAACAUGAAGAACUGUGAACGAGUUGCAAAUUUGGCUUUAGCAGGUAUUGUCUUUUUUCUUACUUUGACAAACUUGACAGUAAUGUGUUGCUCAUUGUAGAUUGCCUUCCUUAGUCAAUUCCCAUCUUUAAUAUUAAAUGUGUGCCUUAUUGUCCCGGGGACGCUUCGUAACUUUUGAGUUUGGAUGUCAGAAAUACUUGUAGUAUGGUGGGAAAUGUAGGGUUGACUCUGAUGUUCACUGAUGUGUAUAAAGAACAGGAGUGCUACUUUCUCUGAAGCAUUGGCCUAAGAAAAAGAGAAGGGGUUUCUGAACAUGAUAGCUCUUUGUUUCAAGAAUCUGAUGCAUGUGGUAGCACCUUUUGUUUGUUACGUUUUGGAAAUUUGACUCGAUGUUGGUCCCAUGUGUCUGAUCUUCAAUGCAGGUUUAACAUUGGCACCACUCUUUGUGAAAGUAGAUCCCAACUUAAAUGUGAUCUUGACUGCAUGCCUGACAGUUUAUGUUGGCUGCUAUCGAUCUGUCAAGCCUACGCCACCUUCAGUAAGUAUAACAAGCAUUAUCAUUUAUACAUUUCUCCUCUGUAUUUCCUGUUCAGCUGAUCCAGAUUGUGUUUGUCUGAAAUUCUUCGUGUUUAAUCUUGCAGGAAACCAUGUCUAAUGAACAUGCAAUGCGCUUUCCCUUUGUCGGGAGUGCUAUGCUGUUAUCAUUAUUCUUACUCUUCAAAUUUCUUUCAAAAGAUUUGGUUAAUGCUGUACUGACCUGUUACUUUUUCGUGCUUGGAAUUGUCGCGCUUUCGUAUGUUCUUUCCACCUGAUCUUUACUGAUUUAUAUUUUCAAAAUAUCUGAAGUAUUAUUUUCCUUCUAGUGUUUAUAUCAUUCUCAUGUUUUCAUUUUUUUCAGGGCAACACUAUUACCAGCUAUAAAACGUUAUUUGCCUAAGCAUUGGAAUGAUGAUGUCAUUUCCUGGCAUUUUCCUUAUUUCCGCUGUAUGUGAUGUUCUUGUGAAUCCUCUAGACAUUUCAAGUCCACUUAAAUGAUUCUGAAAAUUCAACUGGUUUCCAUCGUUAUUUUAUAACCACGGUUAUCAAAUACUACACUGCUGGGUUGCUUAUUUGUGGCAGCUUGGAAUUUCAACUGCAAAUAAAUGCUUCCUGACUCAAUACUGAAUUCCAGCAAAUUGUCCUUGCAUGCUGCUUUAUUCAUUUUUCAGAACAUGCUGCUUUAUUUUAUGCUUAUUUACUGAUUUUUAGCUUUCAGGGAAGGGAAUGCUCUUGUUAUCUUUUUUGAUAAGUAAAAUCACAGUUUAAUGGCUAUCUUUUUAUUUCUGUACAUGUGGAAAAAAAGGACGAGGAGAAAACAUCCUUUCUGUUCAUAGUGAGUGACAUUGUUUUGGAUCCCAAUCCCCGUGUCUUAAAAAUUGGAUUUUAACAAGUUAGUUGCUUGUACUUGCAUGAUUAUUUGGCCAUUAAAGUAACACGGUUCUUAGUGUCCUGGAGCUGUAAUUGCUACCUGUACUUUAGGUAUAUUGAUGACGAGUUGUUUUGGGAUUUUCUUGACCAGUUUAUACAUGGGUGCUUUGCAAGUUGUACAUGCUUGAUUAUCUGCAUGAUAAAGCAUUACUGGUCUUCUGCUCCCUUGAUUUUUCUUUUGAUUCAUAGGAUGUCUUCAUUGUAUCAUGCAAAAUGAUGUUUUUCCUUGUACCUUUCUUCCCCAGCUUUGGAGAUUGAGUUCACAAGAUCUCAAAUUGUUGCGGCAAUUCCUGGAACAUUCUUCUGUGCUUGGUAUGCUUCCCAGAAGCAUUGGCUUGCUAACAAUAUCCUGGGCUUGGCUUUCUGCAUUCAGGUCUGGCAUCAUUCAGUCAGUAGAUUUCUCAUUGUUGCUAAUGUCUCUUUUUGAAAAAAUUGUCUUCCUAUCCUUUUUUUUUAAUCUCCAAUUGCUUUGGAAGUUAUUUUAUGUUUUGUAGAAUAUCCCCUUGGAAAUUUCUUUCUUUUGCAUCAUAUCAAAAUGGGUACUGAAUAAAAUUAUUUAUAGUGUGCCUUAUUUGCUAUUGAAGGUUUCAACUUUCCAAUUAUAUAUCUUCUGGUCACCAUCUUGAAAUUGCUUAGAUCUUUGGGUAUGCUUGUUUCGUAAAUUUCAACCUUUUCCCCUGAAUACUUGAUAUAAUCUAAUAUAUAUCUAUUAAGGCAUUUCACCAAAUGCCGUCAUGCUAGCAGAAUUGUCCAAAUAGUAGGUGAAGCUUUUAAUAGCAGUCACAUCCAUGCUUGUACACACUAACACUUGCUAAGGGCUUAUGUAUAUGUACUACAAAAUUCCAAUGUCCCAUGGAAAUAGGAUUUUAUUGAGAUUAUUAUGUGUUUACUUAUGAUCUGUGAGAUAUUUUUCAGCAAAAGUACCUGUGAUUGAUAUAGUUAUUAAUUAUGGACUGCUUUUAAGCGAUUUGAUUUUGUGAUGCUUCUUUUGCAGGGGAUUGAAAUGCUUUCCCUUGGUUCUUUUAAGACUGGCGCCAUCCUCUUGGUUAGUUGUCUGAUUGUGGAGUUCACAUAUAUAUUUUCUGGAUAGCUAUUGGUCAUUCAUACAAUUACAAAUGUAGCUAGUUUGUUACAUUAGUCAACUUAACUUAUGUCUAUACGCAGCAUAAGUUACAGAAUGUAGAUAUUCUUUAAAUUUCAUAUGUUUCUUAAAUAUCUUUUCCUUGAGAAUUCAUUUCCUCAGAAUAAAGGUGCUUGCAUUUUCCUCGUGUGAUCUAAAGGAUAAGGCCCCCACUCUCAACAUUAAAUAGUGUCUCUCUAGUACAUCAAGAGACCAUAUCCUGGACUCUUAUCGUAUGAUCUUAUUUUGUACAAAAGUUUAAGUUAGUGUAGUAUUGGAUUAAGCGGUAGUGGGUGGUAAUAAACUUUACUUCUCUCACUCAUUAUGCCGUUACUUUGCAUACAAAAAAUAGAAGAUUUAAGAAGAUGCUUUAAACCCUAGAACCAUGGAUGCAUCUUUAGGUAUUAUCAUUUCUUACCAUACUAAUCAAUUUAUUUUGAUGAACAUAUGAUGUAAGGUAAGAAAAGAACAAUACCUAAGUUUGAAGAUCUAUAUGUGGUUUAUGAUUUGAAAACUUGCACUCAAAUCUUCUGAUGUUCUGUGAAGUAACGUUAUAGAGGGAAGGGAAGUUUGCUGUCCUUUUUUCUUGUUAUCCUUUUAUACGACAUAGUACCCCUAAAUUAGUGUAUGACUUAUGCCUCUUAAUGGGCCAAAGAAACCUUAUUUCAGGUGAGGGAAGUGCCAUUUUCCAUUAGAUUACUAUGACACAAUGCAUGACCCUUCCUAUUAAAUGUUGUGAAUGGUCAUGUGACUUUCCUUUUCCUUCAUUUUUCUUUUGAAAAGUCAAAUAUAGCAAUGAAUAAAAUGUUCAGAAUGGUUGAAUGCAUAAAAUUCCAAAAGUUGGAAAAUUUAACAUUUCUUGGUCCUCAACUCCUUGUCAUGAGUUUCAAAACAGAGGUUGAUUUUAUCAUUUAUCGCCAUAUUAUAUUGUAACUGUUCUUUUCAUUGAUGACACUAUGGUGGGUUUCUUGAUAUAUGAUUGCUGAAUUAGACCAAUGUGCAAGUGAAUCUGUUGCCUUAUGAAUUAGCUCCUGGUCAUUUUUUCCAUGCAAUUAGUAAUUCUUCUGAUAUUUGAUUCUUUUUAUACUGAUUUAUGGCAGGCUGGACUUUUUGUAUAUGACAUUUUCUGGGUUUUCUUCACUCCCGUUAUGGUUAGCGUUGCAAAAUCUUUUGAUGCUCCUAUAAAGGUUUGUUUUUUAGCUUAUUUGUCUUGCCUGAUAUCAAAAUUUCCUGUAAAAAUGGUGUUUGUUGAUAUUGAAGCUUUUGAUAUGAUUUGUUGCAGCAGUCUAAUUACAUGCCUAUUCUAUUCUUCUGUAGCUUUUGUUCCCCACAGCUGAUACGGCAAGACCAUUUUCCAUGCUUGGACUUGGUGACAUUGUGAUUCCUGGUAAGGUGUCGAGUUAUAUCAGCAUGCUAUUUGCUAUGAUGAUAAACAGCUGUUUUGGUCUCUAUGAUUAGUUGAAAAUUUUGUUCAUUGAAUUUCCUUUCCAUGUUAAAUAAUAAAAAUUUAGUGAAACAUAUGGUUGGUCUUCUAUUGGGUCUUUCCUUUGAAAGAAAUUGUAUUGAGUCUUUGAAGGAAACUGCAUAACUGAAAAAAUCCCUGUGCAGUAGCUACACAGAGAGUUUUGGAUAACUUUUUAUACCAGAUGCAUGUAUAAAGGCAGCCAAUAUUCUGAUUUUAGCAUCAGAAAGGUGAAGAACACGGCCAAAUAGGUUUUGUUUUGGUUACAAAAAUAGCUGCUAAUAGUAAGCACACUAUAGAGUGAUCAUCUACUUUUAGGUUCUUACAUUGGUUGUUUAUAUGUUUUUUCCCUUUCAGGUAUUUUUGUAGCUCUGGCACUGCGAUUUGAUGUGUCUAGAGGAAAAGAAAGCCAGUAUUUUAAGAGUGCUUUUCUUGGAUAUACAGCUGGUGUGGUCCUUACGAUUAUUGUCAUGAACUGGUUCCAAGCUGCCCAGGUGCCCUGACUUGAUCUUUUAUUUUGUUUUUCUUCUCCAUUUUAUGUGGUCAGGAUUAUAAUCCCUUAAUCACCGCCAUGCUUUUGUAUUGUUACUUCCAGCCUGCACUUUUGUAUAUUGUACCAGCUGCUAUAGGAUUCUUAGCCGCUCACGUCGUAUGGAAUGGUGAAGUCAAGCCGGUUUGUUCAUUACCCUCUAUGACCUUCUUUCUGUUGCUUGCAUUGACCAUCAUUCUAUUUUAUUUUAUUUUUUAAGAAAUUUCUUCACCUGCUAAUUCAUCUUAACAAUACUUUGUUGUCUGAUAUAGUAAUUUCUUUGGACAUCAUGUGCAGUUAAUGGAGUUUGACGAGUCCAAGACUGCUGCAUCAUCUCAAGAAGAUAGUGAAACCAGCUCUAGCAAAAAGGUGGAAUGAUCGGAAAAAACAUCAGAUGCUGAAACUCUUGUAGAGCCAGGGAAGAAAUAUGUUGGUUUUCAGUCAGGACACAAAAUCCUGUAGCUGUCAACCUUUUUGCUAACUUAUGCAAGCUGCACACCAGUGUAACAGAUUUUGGAAUUAAGCGAAAAAAAUUAAUAACAUCAUAUUUAUCCUCUUUACAGUAGGACCAUUUUAGACAUUUGCUCAUUUUAUUCGGUUCUUUAUGCCUCCAUGAUUUUACUUGAGAGGCCUUGAGAGGAAAGUCUUGCUUGCAAUUUGGCGGUGAUCGGCUUGACUCUCUGGGAUGAGCUGCUUGCUCUUCUGCCGUAGAGGUCUGACGGACCAAAUGGCUUAACCACUAGCUCAUUAAGUUAACCGGAUCAACAUAUUAACUCCAGUUUUUAUUUGAGUCAGCUGUUUUGUUUUUUAACCCAAACCAUUAAAGGUAUUAGUUUAACCUAUUAAGCUCGUACAAGUUUCAUAGCUAUAAUUUCAAUAUCCAUGGUUGAAAUGAAUACACGAGAGAGAAGGGUUCGCUUAGCUCAGCUAAAGAUGAAUGAAUAGGCAGCUAUGCCAUCAAAGGAGAUGUAUGGGUGACUCACCCAACCUUUGUCCGAGAAGUUCAUUCAACUUCCUCACAUGGUAAGACAUGUAAUAUACUCGUUAAAUACAUGAAUGUCUCCAGGGUUAUUUUUGUCUAAGGAGUAACGACCAUGAUGACUAUUUAUCUUUGCGUUUUAGAAGUGUUUUUGAAAAAAUUUAAAUUUUUUUUAUUUUUUUGUUUUAAAUUAAUAUUUUUUGAUGUUUUCAUAUCAUUUUGAUGUGCUGAUGUUAAAAAUAAUUUUUAAAAAAUAAAAAAUAUUAUUUUGAUGCAUUUUCAAAUAAAAAAUACUUUAAAAAACAAUCAUAACUACACUCUCAAAAACCCUUGAUGUCUGAUGUAUACUUAACAUCCUCCCAUCAAUGUUUGAGACAUUUAUCUCCUAAUCGAUUUAUGAAGUUAUUGAUGACAAAAUGAAUAGAUAAUUCUACCCUUCUCCCCCCACACAACUAGACAAAUUUUCAUGGCUAUAAAAAGGGGCAUGGGCUUUAGGGCUAGGGAUUUAUUAGGCCUGUUGGAGAACACUGCUAGGGAUUUUUAUUGGUAUGAAAAAUGUGAUAUAAAUUAUUUUUAAAAUAUUUUUUAUUUAAAAAUAUAUUAAAAUAAUAUUUUUUUUAUUUUAAAAAAUCUAUAUUUAAUACCAACGCAUUAAAAUAAUUUUAAAAUACUAAAAAAAAUUAAUUUAAAAUAAAAAAAAUCAAAAUAUUUUAAAAACACAAUUCAACCUUACUUUCAAACACAAGUAUUAUCUUAUUAUAUCACCGCAUCACAAUUUAUAGGGCUCAUAUUUGUUGUCUUUCCAAGCUCAUGAUUAUAUUUUUACAUAGUCAUUGAAGAGUCUCUGAUCUACUAGAGGGACUUGUUUUGCAAGUGUUUUAGUGAACCUAACUAUCAUUCAACCACCUCUUCAUCAUGCGUAAGCAUGAAGAACUAAAAACCGUAUUCUAAGUUUUGAAAUGCUUGUGAGCACAUGAUAUAAAAAUAUAAAAUAGCGUCUCUUUUAUAUUUACUAUGACAGAGAAUUUACAAAUUUAUAAAUAUGAAACACAAACACCCGUUGAUUUUUUAUUUUACCAUUUUUUUAUUAAAACAAUGUUAGUUUUACUUUAUGCACAAUAAAAAAAUAUGGCUGACCUCGGUAACUCCGAUCAUUCAACCCAACUCGUGACCCGAGACAUGGUAGAGGUCGACUCCCGGGCUAGGUUUUAAAAGCAUGAUACGAAAAUAGAUAUCAAAUAUGAUAUGAAAAUUCAAUGAAAUUAAACAUGAUGGAUUAAAUUGCCAAAAAACAAUCAAUCAAGAAGACAACUAAAAAAUAAAAGGAAUUGCAAUCAUAAAAAUGAGGAUGAAGAUCAAACUCAACACAAAAAAUAAUAAUCAAAUGAUUAGGGAUGAAAAUUGAAAAAUAAAUUUUAAUUAAAAAAGAUUAAAAUAAAAAAAAUAAGAAUUAAAUUUGAUAAGAAAAAACAUAAAAAAUCAAAUGAUUAGGGAUGAAAUUGAAAAACAAAAUUUAACUAGAAAAAAAAUUAAAAGCAAAAUAAAUAUGAAUCAAAAUAAUAAGAAUUAAAUUUGAUAAGAAAAAACAUAAAAAAUCAAAUGUUAGUGGAUGAAAUUGAAAAACAACUAAAUUAAUUUUAAUAAAAUUACAAGAUUGAAGACCAUUUUUUAAUUUUUUAAGGCCAAUACACUUUUUGAGAUGAAGACGAGCAAAAAUAGAGGGGGUUUGUUGUUGGAGCUUUGUCAUAUCCUUGUGGUUGAUAUGCAUCAUCCUAUCGUAUAAAGGGUGGCACGCUGCUUUGGAUGCCGUCAAUGAAAGAGACAGAUGAUCACUAGGAGGUGCCUAGCAUGUUAACUAAUUUUUUUUAUUUAUAAAAGAUUAUAAUAUUUUUGACCCUACACGAAUAAUUAAAAAAAAAUCUAAAAAUAGAAAAUACUUUUUUAUCUUAGGUAAGAAAAAGCUGACCCCAAAGGUUACGGGGUAAUCAAACUCUAUAAAAAUGUGAAAUUUCAAAAAAAUUCUUUAGAUAUUAGUUGUGUUUUUUUUUUCAAAUAUAUACGAGUAAUUAUAUUGUAAAAUAAAAAUAUGAAAAUAUAAAAUUAUCUCUGAGUGUUCGUUCACUUAUUUGGUUUUUUAUGGAAAGCAUCAAUUAUUUUACAAAGAAUUACACCGUGCACAAUCCACGACACUGAUGUCUUUUAAUUUUAUUUGUAAUUAUUCAGCAUUUCCAUGUUUAACCGGCAAAGGCAAGAGGAAUGUAGUACUAUCUCUAUUUUCACAAUUCAAAAGAAAUUUAAAAUUAGCUACCUCAUCAAUUUAUAAUCAACCAGUAAUUUUAAAAGGUGCUUAAGAGUAUAUUGAUAGGUAUUUUUUAAAAUAUUUUUUAUUUAAAAAUAUAUUAAAAUAAUAUAUAUAUUUAAAAAAAUUAUUUUUUACAAUAAUUUAAUAAAAUAAAAAUUAAUUUUAAACAAAUAAUUUUUUAAAAAACACUGUUAUAAAUAUAUUUCAAAACGUUUAUAAAAUAUUUUUUAUUUAAAAAUAUAUUUAAAAUAUAUUUUUUAAAAUUAUUUUUAAUAUUAACGUAUUAAAAUAAUUUAAAAAUAUAUAAAAAAUUAAAUUUAUGUAAAUAAAAAAAUAAAAACAAUUAAAUUCUUUUUAAAACACUGAAAAGAAAAAACCUAUUAACCCACUCUAUCCGGCCUACGAUUAAAGCACGCCUGGUAAGUAACAGAAGAAAAUAGGCAGUGCAGACAGGACAGGACAGGACAGGACAGGAGACUAGCGUGUUUUUAUUUUAUUUUAUUUUACUUUACUUUACGAAGGUUUGAUUUUCUGGGAAAUAAUAAAAGAUUGGGAGAAAUAAGAGACUGGGAAAAGGAAGAUAAACACGACAAUAAUUGAAUCGAACAAAAAAAUAUGUAAAAACAAAUUUAUUUAAUUUAAUUUUGAACGAAGAAUUUAAUCAAACGCUACUACAGAGAACAACAAUAAAUUAGAGGGAAAGAGUCAGCGAAUUCAAUUCCCUCUUUCUAUAAGUCUGCCUUUCCAUCUCCUACCAAAGCCACCCUUCUCUUUCUCUCUCAAAAAAUAUCAAAGAAGAAAUUGGAGUUCCACCCAAUCGAACCUUACCCAUUUUGCAUUUUCUCAUUUUGUUUGUGUUUUCUAACUUUAUUGGUCUAAUGGGGUUCUCUUUUUGAGUCAAUCAAAGCCACAGGAAGAGAGAAUCCCCUGAAAUUCAACAACCAUGGAAGGUAAAACUAAAAUAUACCUCUAUCUCACUCUCUUUUCCCCAAUCUUAUGAUCAUUUCAUGCACUUGUUGAAUUUUUAUUUUUCUUUUUUGUGGGUUAUUAGAAUUUUUCUUGCAUGGACAACAAGGGUUACGUGGGGAUCAGCAAGACAAACUAACUGUUAGAAUUUCCUUUAAGGAUGUUUUUGGUGUUUGAGGAAACUGGAAUUGUGUGUGAAAUGGGAUUUUGAUUUUGUCCCAGAUGAUGGAAACUAUGGCUAUAUGUAGUUGAACUUUUCUUUUUCAUUUAUGUUCCUAUUUUGGCUUGCAAACAAAACAUGUCGGCAAUUUUUUCAGGUGAAGCAAGAUGUUUUUCAUUGUUAAUUAUCACACAUCUGAAUUUUGUCAUUCCAGUAAAAAAAAUUCUCGGGAAUCUUAAGGUUGGAUGCUUGUAAUAAUGUGUGUUUCGUGUUCCGAAUGCUUCUGGGGUUUUGGAUGGAACGUAUGGCUCUUCAAAGAUAUUGUGAAAUAUUAACCUCGGUUUGCUGAUUGAGAAUUCCUUGAAUAAUUCUGUGAAAUUGGAAAAAUUUAUAUAGAAUCCAGCUGGGUUACUCUGUGAACACAGAAUGUGAGUGUGAGUUAUGAUUGUUCCGAAUGUAACGUGAGAGUUAUCUUGAAUCACAAUUGUUCUGAAAGUAAACCCGGUUUUGGCUAUCUUGUUAUGGCUUACAUCCAUGCAAUCAGGUGCUUGCUUUCACUGAACAAACAAAAGCAUAGUAAAUACCCUUCAAAGUACUCUGAAUAGGUCAUGAGAAAACAGUGGCAUUUUAUGUUUGCUUUGUUAGUUAAAGCCACAUGCGAUCUACUUCCUUUGCUUGGCCAAAUCCACUCUAGUCAAACUGGGAUUCAUCAUUCAACAUGAUUAACCCCAUUUAUCUGACCUUCUCCACAAAAUUGUGCAUUUAAUAUCCUUUCUGAUGAAAUAUUGCGAAUGUAGAUUUCUACAGCUUACUUGAGUAACUAACUCGGUUUUCCUGUGUUAAAUAGGUGUUGUCCCUUCCUCAGUUCAUACACCAUAGCAUGAUUUCUACAGCUUCUUUAUUUUUCUUUUGUACCUGAUAAUCCCUAUCCGUACAUCACUGUUUCAACUCAAUGGCUUGAUUUUCUAGAACAACCCUAGCAUCUAUAGGGAAACUUAUACGUGCCAUUUGGUGUCUUUACUCUUUACUUGUAUAUGUUCAUUUUUUAUUUUGUCUUGUAAAAAAAAUAAUCAAUGUUCAGAAUCAAGUGAAGUGCAUUUUGGAGAGAAUAGAGUUUCUCCAGAGAAGAAUUUGAAAAGGACAGUCAAGACACCAGCCCAGGUUGUCGCUUUGGAGAACUUUUAUAAUGGUACUAUUGCUUCUCUCACAAAAUUUAUUUAACCCACUGAUGUUAGUCAUUAUGUUCUUGAAGUGAUUUUUUUGCUUUUUCACAGAGCACAAAUAUCCCACAGAGGAAAUGAAAUCAGAACUUGCAGACCAAAUAGGGUUGACAGAAAAGCAAAUAUCUAGCUGGUUUUGCCACAGAAGGCUAAAAGACAAAAGAUUGAGAGAUGAAGUAUGCACUAAUGGACGACAAGAUCGAUCUAGCGGUAUUAUUCAGGAUCGAGGGAGUGGGUUGAGGCAAGAUUCAUGUGGCAGUACCAAACAAGGUGAUUAUAGGAAUCUUGAUCCAAGGGAAGUUGAGAGCCAGAGACUUUAUGGUCGAGAUUUUCAUCCUGCUGAUCUAACCUAUGACCGCACGAGUCGCUAUACAGGGAAUGUUACCGGCAUUGAUAAUAUAUCUUCAGGAAGUAGCUCAUCGUUGCAAGAUAAGUUUGUUUGUCAAAGAGAGGAUCCUUAUGACGCAGAAACCUCAAAGUACCUAGCACAGAAUGGAGCUGCCAUGCCAUUAAUUCCCAAGGGUACUGAUAGUUUUGGGUAUAAACCAUCAGGAUAUUUGAAAGUGAAGGGUGAAAUUGAGAAUGCUGCUAUUACUGCUGUCAAGAUGCAAUUGGGCAGGCAUUAUAAGGAGGAUGGUCCACCACUAGGUGUUGAAUUCCAGCCACUUCCUCCUGGUGCUUUUGCAUCCCCAAGUAGAGAUCCAGUCAGUGGUAAGUUCUAAUAACCUCCUUCCAAGGAAUUCCAUGCAAUUUCUGCAGGCAGAAGGAGAUGUCAAAUAAAUUUUGCUUUUCUAGUUUAUAUUCUUUUCAAGUUUUCUCUGAUUCUCAAUGUCUUACUUAGAGGAAGGUGUUGUGAUGAGAAAAUGGGAAUUCUUUUGAUUCCAUUUGUAUGAUUUGAUGGGUUCAGUUGCAGAUAAGAUACCUCUUACUUUUUUAAAUACAGCGUUACUUACUUCAGUAGCAUUUGCAUUAAAUAUAAAUUUCUGAUGCGUGCUAAUUGCCCAUUUGUUUCUGUACCUACUUAGACUUGCAAUAUACAUUAUACAUUCUUCAUUGGAAAUGGCUUGCCAGGACAAUUACGUUUGAUGCUGGGUGCUGUAGUUUAUCUUUUGGUUUCCUCUUGAUACCCACUUUCUGCAACUGCUAGAGGAAGCUUUGAGUCCUCACUUCACUCACAUUGUUGGCAUAUACUUCAGUAUAAUUUGAUAACAAUACUCCUUUUUCUUAGUUAUAAGUAUGUACACUUGAGUCUUGUUCACUUUUAUAUGCUGUUUCUUGCCAACCAUUUUUCCAGGACCAAUCUAUGUGGGAGAUCUUGCUCAGAUGUGUUCUCCUGAUGUUUCUGGGGUUCGAAAGCAAUCCAGUCUUGGCGCUGUGAGUAGAUCUUCCAAUACAUUUUGUUGGCCUUAGAGUCUAGCAACAUAUUGAUAUUAUGUUAUGCACACUCAUUUAUCACAUUAAUCAUUACAGAAAUGAGGGUUAGAUUUUUUUACCAGUUGCUUUGUCCAAUGUAGUGGGAUUGAUAGAAUGGAGAAUUAGUUGAGUUGAGUUAUAUGGUGCAAACAAAAUGGUUGGCAGUCACUUUUGACAGAUAAAAGCUAAUUAGGCUGCAAUUAGUUUUACAUAUUGAAAUCUGGAAUAGGUUUCAUUUGUAAUUUUAUGCUGAACUUGAUUCUGGAAUUGGAGAACUAUGACAAUUAUAGUAUGAUGGUUGGUAUAAAUUAGUUUGAGGCUCAAGUUCUGCUGGUCCAUGCUGGAAACCUUUAUAUCCUCCAGCUCUCCAUCACUUCCAAUGAUGUCUGCCAUCCCAUGUUUAUCACCACUGUGACUUUCACUUUACUUUUAUUGCCAAUAUACCACCAAUCAUGCACCGGCACCACCAGCAAUUAUGCUCACAACAUGUUUCCUUCCUCAUUUCGGUAUGUUCCAAAGAAAGGUUCAGUUAGACCUGAAAAUGUUAUGGAACAGGGUAUUUUUUUAUAUGAUUCCUCAGACUCCAUUCCACCAUCUUCCAUAUCUUGUACUUCAAAUGAGUCCCUAUAUAUACUCGGAGUGGUGAAGUUAUAAUAGUUUUUCUGAAGCUCUGAUGAGAGCUCAUAGUCACACCUCCAUCAGUGCUUUCAUGGAAUCACAUGGUGCUUGAAUUGCAUCUGAAAUGGAAUGCUAGUAUUUUUCUUACCUCUUUGAUACAUGAUUUCUUAUUAUACUUGUUUGAUACCCUUGCAGAGAUAUGAAGUAUAUAGCACCAAGAUGAGUUCUCAUGAUUCAUAUACAGAGGGAGCAAAUUGUAAUCCCGAGCCCUCUGAUUCUCAUGAUAGAAAAUCUCAUCACCAUCUAGAACAGAAGCCUACCUAUAAUGGUUCCAAUUCUAAUGCUGGUGGGAACUCUGCCAUGGAUAUGCUCGAUGAUCUUGCUGGUGAAACAUCAGCCUAUGUAAACAAAAGACAUUAUAGGAUGAGCUCUAAGCAUGGUUUUGAGGGGACAAGAUCGGAUUCUCUUUCAACCCAUCUUGGUCCCAGUGGUAGGAGAGUUAAUAGUGAAAAGACAGAAGCUUGGUUGCAUGACUGUGAUAAUGACAAUCCUAAGAUAGUUCAAAGGAAUAAUUACACGUCUAAGCAUCCGCACUUGAUGCGUGGAUCUGGAAAAUCUCUUGAUACAGAGGAGAGAGCACGGUGUACGAUCAUGGAAAAGGUUCUCUUAUUACUUUACAUCUUUCUGCUUGUGGUAUUGUAGAACAGAUCCAUGCUAACAUAUUUAGCUUAAUAUCAAGUUGUACAUUGGGUAUAUGUAGGAGGACAAACUUCAUGGAGAAAUGAAAAGAAUGAAAGGCUCUCACGACCCAGUUAGAGUAAAGAGGCAUCCAACGGAUGAAACAACUGUGAGUUUAUGAUGUGAUCACUUAUGGGAAUAUUUUGAAUGAAUCCUGCAUAUGUUGUAUGCACAUUCAUCAAUAUACAUCUAAAUCACACUUUACUCUUUGUAUAUGUACAUUGAUUUUGAUACCUCCUCCUUUUUGGCUUAAUAUUGAAGGUUGCAAAAAGAUUCAGAGUUGACUUUCCACAGCAAGAACAUGUGGCAAAAGCAUCGUUUUCUGAAAUACGUCGAAGGACAAAUCUGACUAAACGGUUGGUAAACGCUUCUAUAUGCAACAAUAAUUUUAUUUAAUCUUUUUUUUUUGUGCACUCUUAUUUAUGUUCUCAGUGUAGCGUGGUGUGUAUAUGUUGUGCGUGUUUUUUCAAAUUUGAUGGACUUCAUAUCUUUAAUGAAUCUGUGAAUUUCCACAAAAGAGAAUUAUAAGACAGUAUCCAUGUCUGAUGAUGCAUUUAGCUUAGCAAAUUUUUAAUUUCCAAAGUAAGUUGUUUUAUUUCGAUUGAAAGAAAUAACUGUGUAGAUGGUUAGUGUAGUUUUACAUCACUAAUUCUACUCUGACACAGUUGUGGUGGUUCGUAAUUUUUUUUUGUUUCUCCUUUCAAGUGAACUGGCAUGAGUACCUCUAGUUGUCAUGAUGGCUAGCACAGAUAGGAAACUUUCAACCGCUAUUUAAAACUAUUUCAGGGUCCAUGGCCCCGCAAAGCCUUUUUUCUGAAGAGUUGGGUGAAAAGAGAGGAGGGAGAAGUGACAGGCAGAUUGCUUUUUAAUUAUGCAUCAAUAUAGUAGCAAUUAUCUAUCAAGCAUAUAUAGAAGUGCAUUAGAAUCCAGAGAACAUGGCCACGGGCAUUGCUUUCACUGAAGUUGUAGGAGCAUUGGAUGUGCCAAUAGACAUUGGGAGGUUAUAUGCAUCUGAAACAAAUCGAUGCUCACAGACUUGUCAUGAAUACUUGUUUGAAUAAUUUUUUUGUGAAAAACAUUGGUUAAGCUUGUUUUCACGAAUAACUUGGCUGGUUGUUAAAUAAGAUAUAAGCCGCCUCUUGUAAGAUGCAGAAUGUUAACCCUCUGAUCGUGAGACUUCACACUGUUCUCCUGUCACAUCAAGGCUAAUUAUGUUCGGUGUGAAGUUCAAAGUUCAGGAAAUGCUAGGUGUCCAAGCUUGUAAAGGAGGAUGCCGUAUGCCCAUGUUUGGUCGAGAUGCUGACUUGUUAAUUGACAUUGUUUUCAGUUUUCAUAGAUAUUUGUGUUCCAAACCCUAUAAACAUGUAGCUCUGUUUCAUUUAGAUGAUUAAUUGUCAAAAUAUUUCUGUGCUUCCUGCACUGCCAACAUGGUGUUAUUUUCCUUUUUUGAAUCUUGUCCUCAAAUUUUCAAUCAAUGCUAAAAAUUCUGUUGACAUUCUUCAUGUUUCGUGUCUACUGCAGGUCUGCCAUGGAGAGGCCAUCUAGUUUCAGCGAGGAUGAAACUCCAGAAACCAGUUCUUCGGCAGAAUGAGGAACUGACAAAUAAUGGAUUCAGAUGGUAUAAUGGUUCGUGAGAUCACCUCUCAAAAAGACAGCGAUUACCCAUUCACCUGAUGAAGAUUGUACAAGGCUGUACAGUUUGAGAGAAUGUAUUUCUUUUGUUAGUGAUGCUCCUUUGCUACGUGGAAAGAAGUUUAGUUCAUCGUGGCAGCCAAUUGCUUUUGCCCUUGAUGUCGUCAAGUGUGUACUUUGUAGUUUGUACAAAUUUUGUCCUCGAUGUUCAAAUUCUUUCUGGAGAUAUUCUUGAUUUCUGAUUGUAAAUCAGAUUAGGCAGGGUCCCUUUAGCAAUGGUAGUCCAGACAAUGUUGAUGACUUCAUGCGACAGCACAGCAUGCCCGUAGUGUUUUUUGUAAAGGCAAAUGAUAGCAAGACUGCUAUAAAGCUGUUUUCUAGUUUCUAUCAAUCAUGCAUGACAUGACCCUUUUUUUCCCCUAAUGAAAUGUGAAACCUCAUUGAUAUCUUGUUUUCUCCUGAACUUGAAAGAUAAAAUUCACAUAACAGAGAAGGUGGGAAAGGAAUUCGCUAGCUAGAUGUCACCUUUAGGUUGUAGCGAACAUUUCAUAUUAAUAUUUUGCUCUCCAGUUCUUGCUUUGUUAUUUUAGGAGAGGAUUCAAAUAUCAGAGAAAAAGAGUUAAGAAUAUCAUGGAACACGAAUAUAUUAUGCUAACUAGGAAAAAAUCAUUUAAAAGAUCACUCGCAUAAAAAAAUAUAUUCUGGAAGCUCUAUACAUCAUAUUUCCAUCUGGAAUCUGCACAAAGGACAAGUUUUCUUCUUUCUCAAGCACUUGUAAUUAAAUGCAAGAACAAUGAAAUUCAUGCAUGCAUUCCAUGACCCUAGCUUCCUCUCCAAUCUCCAGCUCUUCUUGACAAACCCCACCUCCAUCAAUCACCAAAUUCUUCAAUCCAGCAAGCACCGGAUCAAUAGUUUUCGCCGAAAUGAUCCCCGCAAGCUGAACCCUAACCUGUAGCACUUGCACGCUUCAUUGCUAGCUGCUGUGUUCUUGUCUCUAACUUUGCAAAUUGUAGUUCCUCUUCGUCAAGCUUUCCAUUGUGACCUCUAGGGUCAUAAGAGCCAUCGAAUGUAGAGUAAUAGCCCCAGUUGCUCGCCCUGUUAAGAACCUCAGCUUCUGCUAUGGCAAUUUGAAGCUCCUCCAUUGUACUAGCUAGUAAUUAAUCAGUGUCAAAACCUUCAAUAUAUAUAUAUAUAUUCUCUCCAAAAAGAAGAGCACCACAAAGCAAGAAAGUAGACGGGAAAAGAGAGAGAGAGAGAGAGAGAAAGAUACCGUCAUAUACAUGUUCUUGGAACGUGGUGUUACGCUUCCUAAUUUGGGAAUCGGUGCAUGCAUCUCUCCUCUUCUACUGUGUUUAGUUAAUAAAAUAGUAUUUUAAAUAUGUAAAUAUAACUUCUUUUUUUUAUCAUAUAUAUUUCAAUAAAAAAACUAAUUAAAAAAUCAAUUAUGUUAAAGUGAAAUAAAUAAGUGUUUUAUUUUUUUUAAAAUAAUUUUAAUGUUAUUUUUUUUACAUGGCUAUAUUUAAUUGACUUAUUUUUUUUGUUGGCUCCACUUUGUUAGUUUUGGCUAUUUUAAGAGAUAUACAGGAAUAACACUUAUGGAAAAGAAAAGACAUUUUAGUAUUUUAUUUAGCUUUCUCCUUGAAGUAUGAAAAACAAGUAAAGAAAAAUUAAAAUAUUACUUUUUUUAUUUUUGGUUAUCCAUUUAGUAGUUCCUUUGAAAAUGCUCUUAGUACGAGCCCAAAAAUAAAGUUGGAAACGGCGGAUUGCUAGCUAUAUAUAGAAAUAUCAAAUUACGAUAUAAAAAUUAAAUUAAUAAAUCACAUAUAAUUAAUAGACUCAAAUCCAAUUCUUAUAUGACCAAAAAACAAACUAGAAAUCAAAUUAAAUCACAUGUAUAAAUCAAAUGGCACAUUGGAAAUUCAUCAUGAUAGAUCUUAUAGUAUGAAUCCUUCGAUAAGAACCUAGAAACCAAACUAUUUCGGCCAUGUUGGUAUAAUGUAUGUGAUUAGCACCAUUCAGGAUUCCUUUGUGAAUGUGGAGGGUGCUGUGUUUUCCAUUUUUAUGCACCAUGCAUGGUGCCACAAAGAAUAGAAAAGGUGUGCUUGUAACACAAUUUUGCGCCCUCAGCAGUCAGCACAAAAUGGAUGCAUUAUCAUUAGGAAACGAAAGGCGUGGUGGACCUUGUCCGAAAAACACGACUCAAAACUCACACUAACAUCAUCUUGAAACCUAGUGAAUGAUGCAUUGAUUCAUGGGAGCAUGAACGUCAAGGCCCAGCAUGUCUUCAUGAUCUUUUCUGGGCUUCGAGUGUUCCAAAACUGUAAAGGCCAUCCAGAAACCUCAAAUUGAAACUUAAUUAAUCCUCUAGUGUCCAAAGUCCAUAUAUAUUUUUUCUAAUUCUAACUGAAAAAACCAUUCAUUUCAUUCACACUCGCAAGUCUUUCUUGAUACAGCAGUAUGGUUUAAACCAAGGAGCCGUCUUCGUUUACUUGCUGUCCUCACCAUUUCUGCUACGAUUAUAUAUAUUAGCUAUUAAGGUAGGGCUUGCUUACAAAGUUCGUUCAUGUUCAAAUAGGGUUAAGUGGUUAUAUUGUUAAUUCACCGAAAAAGGUCCUACUUGUGACUUUAAUUUCUUGAAAAAAUCACACCAACUUCAAGCAAGAAGAGAGAAUGGAAAUUCUAGCAUCAAAAUUCUACUGUAUCACAUCCACCUAUUAAUGCUAGAAUUUCCUUCUUCCUUUUUUUUUUCUUCACAUAAAGUUGGUUAUCUAAGCCCAUAUUUGGCUGUUUUUUAUUUUUCCAGCAAGGCACGUUGCCUGAACCUGAUGAUGUUCUGAUCCUCUCACGAUCAUGCCAUUGUUAGCACAUGAUUAAAUGUUAGAAAUGGUUUAACUUCACCAAAGGAAAUCCUCUGAGAAGUAAAUUAAUCCUUGUUAUGGGUCAUAGUUCCUGUUGGCCAAAAAGAUGAACCUAAUCAAUGAGAGCCUAUACCACACGGUUCCUUGAAAAGAUUUUACAUCAUGCGUGUGCCUGCUUCUCUAGACCAGAUAGGCAUGCACAUUCAAUAAUUUUGAAGGAGUCCUUAUCAUUUACAGAAGAAAGUCACUGUAUCUAUAUUUGACCAAUUGAGCAAUAAAAGAAGAAAGGCUAAAGUGAAAAAUAUUGUGGAUUUCAACUCGGAGAAGCAGUAGGGGUUGUUCUCUCUAAAAUUGAUGUUAUAUUAUACGUUGACACCUGAACUUUUAAGAGUUGGUUUUAAAGUUUGAGUUCGUAUAUGAACUUCAGCCUUCGAUUUGAGGUUCGACAGGGCACUAUUUGGAGCAAUGAAUGAGGCCAGGGCUUGGUGAUGUAAAUGCUCUCUGGUUCAACCUCUCAUUGAAUCUAAUAAGAACAAUAAGUAACUAAUAACACAGAAUCUCUCCGUAGAGGAAUCACUCCAAUUUAUGUUUAAAGAAAAGCAAUUGCCAAGAACACAAAACUGCCUAUAUUUUGUUCUGUUCUCCUCUUAAAUACCCUCCAGCUAAGGAAAUACCAUCUAAUAUGUAAUUAAGACCAGAUACUAAUUUGACUAGGAAACUACCAGCUAACUAGGAUAAAAUAACUAACAGCUAAUAAACUUAUAACAGCAAAUACUAAUUUGACUAGGAAACUAAUAGCUAACUAGGAUAAUAAUAACUAACAGCUAAUAAGCUUAUAACAGCUUUCAAGAUUCUUUGUAUCCCACACGUCUACUUUGUCCAGUAGACUUCGUGAAUUAAAGGGUGCCUUCCUCUGUCUCCUGAUUUGAAUCACUUGGUCUCUUCGAGUGUUUUACGUGGUUGUUGGGUUCGUGCUGAUAAGCACAUCAUCUCCCACGAAGGUAGGACCAAUAUGGAGGCAGAAGAAAGAAAGGGGACCAGAAAUUUCUCUGACUUGUGUGGCUAAUGGCUGCUUUUCUCAAAAGUGCAGCCACUGUCAUGUUGGUCCCGAUCAACAGGGUUUGGAAAGAGAAAGGGGCUGUAGUUAGGGGCAUUAUGGACGUAUCCGUGGAAGUUCAAGCCACUUUGCACAUGCUCUUUAACCAGCAGGGAAUGGAAUACUUCUUUUUUCUUGUGCUGCUCACAUUUGUCAAAUUCCAAGUUGAACUGGGUCAUCUCUGCAUGCUCAACCACUCCAUUUUUCACUUUUUUCCAGAUAAUGUCAGGACACUUGGAUCUCUACCUGGAAUUUAGUGUAAACAUUGUCAGAGUGUUGCUAAAAUUUAUGCUUCAUGUGUUUGAUCAAGCCAGAUCCUAAAUUCUAAGACAUUUGUCGCAAUAUUGUGUUUUCUAGUGGUACAUGGGUUUUUUAUAUUGGAUGUUUAGAGAUUUUUUUUUUAAAAAAAAAACUAGCUUUCCCGUUAAUUGAUAGUUCGAGGCUAAACUUCCUUUUCAGACAACCUUAGAGUCACUCUUUUUUAUAUUAUAUUGAUAUGAUGGUCUAUUCAAAUUAUUAGUUUUAAGAUUUAAAUGUAUAAUAUUUCAAAAUAAAUUUCAUCUCCUUAACUAUAAAAUAAAAAUAAUUCCCUUCAGGCUUCAGGCUUCAGGCUUCAGGCAGGUUCAUGAUGAUUCUCUUAUAUAAAGUAAAAAAUGGCUUACGUUCAUUUAAGUAGAUUGAUGCCACGUGCCUGGGAUCAGCUAGUUGAUUGGUUUUCAAGACAGGCUUAUGUAAGUCAAUGGCCGGAGAGAGAAAUUGCUUAUUAGAGUCUUAAUUCUUGUUAUUUCGUGCUAGGUUCUUCGUUUGUCAUUUAUUGUUAGGUCUGUUUGUUAAAGUAGUUUUUUAGAAAUUAUUUUUUAAAUUUUAAUAUGUCCGUUUAUUAUUAGAAAAAUUAGUGAAUGAAAAAUAUAUUUUAGUUAAAGAAAAAUUUAGUUUGGUUUUCAGGAAAGUGUUUUUUUUUUAUUUUGAACGGAAAAUACUUUUCAGAAGUAUAUCAUAUUAUUUGUUGAUUAUAUCAAAUUUGUUCUAAAAUAAUCGAACCAAACCGAAACCGGUUGGUUUGAACCAGUUCCGGUUCGGUUUCGGUUUUUUUAAAAUGGUUUGAUUACUUUUUUUUGAU